GAGUUUGAUCCUGGCUCACAAUCCACACAGGCGGCGUGCCUCAGACAUGCAAGUCCAACGAUUAAAGCUCCCUUCGGGGAGUGCAUAAAGUGGCGCACGGGUGAGUAACACGUAAGUAAUCUACCCUCGAGUGGGGAAUAACAUCGGGAAACCGAUGCUAAUACCGCAUAAUGCAGCGGCACCGCAAGGUGACAGUUGUUAAAGGAGCAAUUCGCUUGAGGAGGAGCUUGCGGCAGAUUAGCUAGUUGGUAAGGUAAUGGCUUACCAAGGCUACGAUCUGUAUCCGGUCUAAGAGGACGGUCGGACACCCUGACCUGAAUAACGGGUCAGACUCCUACGGGAGGCAGCAGUCGGGAAUUUUGGGCAAUGGGCGAAAGCCUGACCCAGCAACGCCGCGUGAAGGAUGAAGUAUUUCGGUAUGUAAACUUCAAAAGAAUGGGAAGAAUAAAUGACGGUACCUUUUAUAAGCUCCGGCUAACUACGUGCCACCAGCCGCGGUUUUACCUCAGGGAGCAAGUGUUGUUCGGAUUUACUGGGCAUAAAGGGCGCGUAAGCGGCGCGGUUAAGUCACUUGUGAAAUCCUCUGAGCUUAACCUCACAACGGGCCAAAUUGAAACUUGCAAGUGCCUAAAGUGG
Molecule: ribosomal RNA, 636 nt
Filed under: uncultured Acidobacteriota bacterium
Lineage: Bacteria; Pseudomonadati; Acidobacteriota
Description: bacterial SSU rRNA
Rfam family: Bacterial small subunit ribosomal RNA
Source: RNAcentral